RNAcentral lists this ribosomal RNA (579 nucleotides) under uncultured bacterium. RNAcentral's name for it is "bacterial SSU rRNA". It matches the Rfam family "Bacterial small subunit ribosomal RNA", at positions 338 to 916 of the family's 1533-position model. The record is from RNAcentral.
CCUACGGGAGGCAGCAGUAAGGAAUAUUGGUCAAUGGGCGAAAGCCUGAACCAGCCAUGCCGCGUGAAGGAUGAAGGCGUUACGCGUUGUAAACUUCUUUUGUAUAGGAAGAAUGGUCGAGAUUCAUCUCGAAAGCGACGGUACUAUACGAAUAAGCACCGGCUAACUCCGUGCCAGCAGCCGCGGUAAUACGGAGGGUGCGAGCGUUGUCCGGAUUUAUUGGGUUUAAAGGGUGCGUAGGUGGCCUUUUAAGUCAGUGGUGAAAUGCGGUCGCUCAACGAUCGAACUGCCAUUGAUACUGUGAGGCUUGAGAGAGAUGGAGGCCGCCGGAACGGAUGGUGUAGCGGUGAAAUGCAUAGAUAUCAUCCAGAACACCGAUUGCGAAGGCAGGUGGCUACGUCUGAUCUGACACUGAGGCACGAAAGCAUGGGGAGCAAACAGGAUUAGAUACCCUGGUAGUCCAUGCUGUAAACGAUGAGGACUCGCUGUUGGCCUUUUGGGGUCAGUGGCUUAGGGAAACCGUUAAGUCCUCCACCUGGGGAGUACGCCGGCAACGGUGAAACUCAAAUGAAUUGACGG